AUGCCUCGCGCCGGGGGAGCUCGAGUCCCGUCACCGACCGUCCGCUCUCGGCUUCGCUCACCUGUCCGUGCUUGGCGGAAUCGAGCUUUUCCAUGGUUUUGCAGUCCAACUUCAAGCUCCGCCUCCGGUCGCUCAAUGAAUCACGUGCACGCCACCCCCCGUGCUCUGCCCCUAUAUUCGGUUCGGCUGUUAGCUCCUGUUCUAGCUGACUGUACUUAUUCUGAUGCUCUGGUUGACCUUAUGCUUGCAGCUAACUGCACUUGUUCUAAUGCUCUGACUAACCUUGUGCAUGCAUCUGAGUUGGGCUGCCUCCUAUUCAAAUUCUUGCAACUUUCAAUUAUGUUUUGUUCGAAAGCUAUUUACUGUAAAGUAGUAUAUGUGCUAGCAUUUAGUAUAGCUUCCAAAAAAAUGUGGUUCAAGUUCUCAAUUUGUUUAGAAGAAGAUAGGACAGGAAAUCUUGAAUGGAAAGCUCAGAUGAGUGUGAAUGGUUUGAGUAAAUAUGUGACUGGUGGAGAUCAUUCAUGUUGA
Molecule: ribosomal RNA, 528 nt
Filed under: Triticum aestivum (bread wheat)
Lineage: Eukaryota; Viridiplantae; Streptophyta; Magnoliopsida; Poales; Poaceae
Description: partial small subunit ribosomal RNA
Source: RNAcentral